AAAUUACACCGACAGCAAUCGUGGGGAAGACAGUGAUACAACUAGCACCUUAAAGCUCGGUAAAUCCAACAUCAGUGGACAUCCAUGCAAAGAAAAGAAGAAAACCUUUUUUAAAAAGACAGAAAGCAUUCCACCAUACGAUGUAGUGCCUUCCGUCCGGCCAGUGGUCCUCGUAGGUCCAUCUCUCAAGGGUUAUGAAGUCACGGACAUGAUGCAGAAAGCCAUUUUUGAUUUCUUAAAGCACAAGUUCGAAGGCAGGAUUAUCAUCACUCGGGUGACAUCUGAUAUCUCCUUGGCCAAGCGAUCUCUGCUGAACAACCCAAGCAAAAGAGCUAUAGUGGAGAAAUCCAGUAGUCGGGCGUCGUGUUUAGCUAAAGUCCAGGAGGAAAUAGAGAGAAUAUUUGAAUUAGCUCGGACGUUACAGCUGGUGGUAUUAGACUGUGAUACAAUAAACCACCCUUCCCAACUUACCAAGACUUCCCUAUCGCCUAUUAUUGUAUAUCUUAAAAUAUCUUCCCCAAAGGUUCUUCAGCGGUUGAUCAAAUCCAGAGGAAAGUCACAAAGUAGAAAUUUGAAUGUUCAGAUGGUCGCAGCAGAAAAGUUAGCUCAAUGUCCUCCUGAAAUGUUCGACGCGAUACUGGACGAGAAUCAGCUGGAAGAUGCCUGUGAACACCUGGGAGAGAUUCUGGAAAGCUACUGGGAAGCCUUACACCCACCUGUAAAGGCAUCACCUCCUACUGUCCCCCGUCCCAUCCUCUCUCCUCGAGUGGAUCCUAUUGGCCUGUCGAGACAUAAUUCCACUCCUCCAGUUCGAUUCACAAGUGACAGAACACGUACAAGGAGGUCGGAAAAGAUUUCAUCGGAGUUUGAUCAACAUGCCAUGUUACCGAGGUCUGUCGAGUUUGAUCAACAUGCCACGUUACCGAGGUCUGUCGAGUUUGAUCAACAUGCCACGUUACCGAGGUCUGUCGAGAUUCUAGAACAUCAAGCAGUGACGGCUUCCUCAUGUAACCAUCCUCACAGCGGUGCCAGAAAUAGAAUUUAUGACCAAUAUAUGGACUGGCCAGAUGACCGUGAUCCCUAUCUUGAUGACUAUGGCCCUCUCGAAGCACACGGUUCGGAGUCAGACCAAAUCGCGACUGUAGUGGAUUAUGACUCACAGCAUGACCAAGACGUAUUAAACGAUACAAAUUACCACAGAGAUCAGAGACGUGCUCGUCAUCCAAUGAAUGGUGUCUAGUACACUAAGACGCAAGAAAAAAAUUGUAUACACGUUUCUGGCUUACAAGUGUUGUUCCAUAUAUAUAUAUAUCUAUGUGUGUGUGUG
RNAcentral lists this unclassified non-coding RNA (1327 nucleotides) under Limulus polyphemus (Atlantic horseshoe crab). Its description in RNAcentral is "voltage-dependent L-type calcium channel subunit beta-2-like, transcript variant X1". The record is from RNAcentral. Lineage: Eukaryota; Metazoa; Arthropoda; Merostomata; Xiphosura; Limulidae.